GACAGAGGGUGCAAGCGUUAUUCGGAUUUACUGGGCGUAAAGGGUGUGUAGGCGGUCGCGCAAGUCUGGUGUGAAAUCUUCACCACUCAACGGGAAGAGGUCACUGGAAACUGCAUGACUUGAGUUUGGUAGAGGCUAGCGGAAUUCCUGUUGUAGCGGUGGAAUGUGUAGAUAUCAGGAAGAACACCUGUGGCGAAGGCGGCUAGCUGGGCCAAUACUGACGCUGAGACACGAAAGCGUGGGGAGCAAACGGG
Molecule: ribosomal RNA, 254 nt
Filed under: uncultured bacterium
Lineage: Bacteria
Description: partial 16S ribosomal RNA
Rfam family: Bacterial small subunit ribosomal RNA
Source: RNAcentral